RNAcentral lists this ribosomal RNA (117 nucleotides) under uncultured bacterium. Its description in RNAcentral is "partial 16S ribosomal RNA". It matches the Rfam family "Bacterial small subunit ribosomal RNA", at positions 1367 to 1482 of the family's 1533-position model. The record is from RNAcentral.
UACGUUCCCGGGCCUUGUACACACCGCCCGUCAAGUCACGAAAGUCGGUAACACCCGAAGCCGGUGGCCCAACUCUUUGAGGGGGAGCCGUCGAAGGUGGGACUGGCGAUUGGGACU